AACGAACGCUGGCGGCAGGCCUAACACAUGCAAGUCGAGCGAGGACUUCGGUCCUAGCGGCGGACGGGUGUGUAACGCGUGGGAACGUGCCCUUUGCUUCGGAAUAGCCCUGGGAAACUGGGAGCAAUACCGGAUGAGCCCUUUGGGGGAAAGAUUUAUCGGCGAAGGAUCGGCCCGCGUUGGAUUAGGUAGUUGGUGGGGUAAUGGCCUACCAAGCCGGCGAUCCAUGCUGGUAUGAGAGGAUGAUCAGCCACACUGGGACUGAGACACGGCCCAGACUCCUACGGGAGGCAGCAGUGGGGAAUCUUAGACAAUGGGGGAAACCCUGAUCGAGCCAUGCCGCGUGAGCGAUGAAGGCCUGAGGGUUGUAAAGCUCUUUCAGCUGGGAAGAUAAUGACGGUACCAGCAGAAGAAGCCCCGGCUAACUCCGUG
This 432-nucleotide ribosomal RNA is filed under the name uncultured bacterium. Its description in RNAcentral is "partial 16S ribosomal RNA". It matches the Rfam family "Bacterial small subunit ribosomal RNA", at positions 29 to 507 of the family's 1533-position model. The record is from RNAcentral.